RNAcentral lists this ribosomal RNA (250 nucleotides) under uncultured prokaryote. RNAcentral's name for it is "partial 16S ribosomal RNA". It matches the Rfam family "Bacterial small subunit ribosomal RNA", at positions 524 to 774 of the family's 1533-position model. The record is from RNAcentral.
UACGUAGGGGGCGAGCGUUAUCCGGAUUUAUUGGGCGUAAAGCGUGCGUAGGCGGUUUAUUAAGUUUAAGAUAAAAGCCCGAGGCUCAACCUCGGUUCGUCUUAAAAACUGGUAGACUUGAGUAUGGUAGAGGCAAACGGAAUUUCUAGUGUAGCGGUGAAAUGCGUAGAUAUUAGAAGGAACACCAGUGGCGAAGGCGGUUUGCUGGGCCAUCACUGACGCUGAGGCACGAAAGCGUGGGGAGCAAAUA